Molecule: ribosomal RNA, 495 nt
Filed under: uncultured bacterium
Lineage: Bacteria
Description: partial 16S ribosomal RNA
Rfam family: Bacterial small subunit ribosomal RNA
Source: RNAcentral
GACGAACGCUGGCGGCGUGCCUAAUACAUGCAAGUAGAACGCUGAAGGAGGAGCUUGCUCUUCUGGAUGAGUUGCGAACGGGUGAGUAACGCGUAGGUAACCUGCCUGGUAGCGGGGGAUAACUAUUGGAAACGAUAGCUAAUACCGCAUAAGAGUAGAUGUUGCAUGACAUUUGCUUAAAAGGUGCAAUUGCAUCACUACCAGAUGGACCUGCGUUGUAUUAGCUAGUUGGUGGGGUAACGGCUCACCAAGGCGACGAUACAUAGCCGACCUGAGGGGGUGAUCGGCCACACUGGGACUGAGACACGGCCCAGACUCCUACGGGAGGCAGCAGUAGGGAAUCUUCGGCAAUGGACGGAAGUCUGACCGAGCAACGCCGCGUGAGUGAAGAAGGUUUUCGGAUCGUAAAGCUCUGUUGUAAGAGAAGAACGAGUGUGAGAGUGGAAAGUUCACGCUGUGACGGUAUCUUACCAGAAAGGGACGGCUAACUACGUG